This 484-nucleotide ribosomal RNA is filed under the name uncultured bacterium. RNAcentral's name for it is "partial 16S ribosomal RNA". It matches the Rfam family "Bacterial small subunit ribosomal RNA", at positions 28 to 507 of the family's 1533-position model. The record is from RNAcentral.
AUUGAACGCUGGCGGCAUGCUUUACACAUGCAAGUCGUACGGCAGCGCGGGCUUCGGCCUGGCGGCGAGUGGCGAACGGGUGAGUAAUGCAUCGGAACGUGCCCAGUAGUGGGGGAUAGCCCGGCGAAAGCCGGAUUAAUACCGCAUACGACCUGAGGGUGAAAGCGGGGGACCGAAAGGCCUCGCGCUAUUGGAGCGGCCGAUGUCGGAUUAGCUAGUUGGUGGGGUAAAGGCUUACCAAGGCGACGAUCCGUAGCUGGUCUGAGAGGACGACCAGCCACACUGGGACUGAGACACGGCCCAGACUCCUACGGGAGGCAGCAGUGGGGAAUUUUGGACAAAGGGGGCAACCCUGAUCCAGCCAUGCCGCGUGCGGGAAGAAGGCCUUCGGGUUGUAAACCGCUUUUGUUCGGGAAGAAAUCCUCUGGGCUAAUACCCCGGGGGGAUGACGGUACCGGAAGAAUAAGCACCGGCUAACUACGUG